GAUCAUUUUGCGUAUUCGUUUCGACUUUUUAAUCUUGAAUCUCUCGUCAAGACAAGAGGGGUUGCUCUGAUGGUAAGCAACCUCCAUUUCCAACCGAGAGGUUAUGAGUUCGAGUCUUCCCAAGAGCAAGGUGGGAAGUUCUUGGAGGGAAGGACGCCGGGGGUCUAUUUGGAAACAGUCUCUCUACCCAAGGAUAGGGGUAAGGUCUGCAUACAUACUAUCCUCCCCAGACUCCACUAAGUAGGAUUAUAUUGGGUUGUUGUUGUUAUUGAUAUCUCUCAUCAAUAUAUGUAUAUGUUUUUUU
This 304-nucleotide long non-coding RNA is filed under the name Nicotiana benthamiana. RNAcentral's name for it is "long non-coding RNA (NBEN_LNC005907)". Lineage: Eukaryota; Viridiplantae; Streptophyta; Magnoliopsida; Solanales; Solanaceae. The record is from RNAcentral.